GGCUGGUCUGAAGGUAGUGAGUUAUCUCCAUUGAUUGUUCACAGACAGUUACAGAUCAAACUCCUUGUUCUACUCUUUCUCCCCUUCUCACCACUGCACUUGACUAGUCUUAU
Homo sapiens (human) is the source of this 113-nucleotide unclassified non-coding RNA. It matches the Rfam family "Y RNA". From Rfam's summary of the family: Y RNAs are components of the Ro ribonucleoprotein particle (Ro RNP), in association with Ro60 and La proteins. The Y RNAs and Ro60 and La proteins are well conserved, but the function of the Ro RNP is not known. Lineage: Eukaryota; Metazoa; Chordata; Mammalia; Primates; Hominidae. The record is from Ensembl.